AAAAAAGUUCUCUCUCCUCCCACCAGCGGCCUCGAUCUGGGAUCGCCAGGGACGCCGUCGCCGCCGCGGAUCCCACGGCGCCACCUCGCCACCACUGGUCGCCAUGGCGCGGUGUCACCCCACCGCCACCUCAGCCAAGCGCCGCGCCGCCCCUCCAAACCCUAGCCCGCCCCCUCCGCCCGCCGACGGAUCGCUUCCGCUCCUCCACGCAGUGAGCCGCGGCGACUUCCGCCUCUUCAAGAGGCUGGUGAGAGAUCUGGAUCAGGGCAGGGGCCGUCCCAGGGAGGUCGUGGAGGCGGCCAAGGACCAAGGUCUCGUGGCGCUGCACUUCGCUGCCGGGAAGGGAAGGCCACGGGUGUGCAGGUACCUGGUCGAGGAGCCAGGGAGAGGAGAAAUUAACGCACGAUCCCCUGUAAUCACGCAUCUCCUGUAAUCACGCACAAAACUAACGCACGAUCCCCACGCUCCCUUCCCAUCGCCACCACGGGAACAGGAGCCGCCGCGCCCCCAGCCUCGUGCCGCCCGCCGCUCGGCCUGCAUCUCCUCCCUCGAGAAGCGGCGGCGCGGAACCAGAGUGGUCGGUCUGCGUCAGUGGCGGCAAGGUCCGUCUCCUCCCUCGACCAGCGGCGGCGGACCAGGAUGCAGCGGGCGGCCACAGACGCGGCGGUGGAUGCAGGCCACGGCAGAGGAGCUGUGCGUGGCGGCCCUUGUGGCGCGGGCGCGAUGGUGCCGUGGCAGCUGCGCGGCGGAGGGCGUGUGCGUGAAGGCUGCGCGUUCCUCCGGCUUCCGGCGUGCCGCGGCAUGGAAGGCUUGGAGUGCGAGACGGAGGGCAGCCUAUGGAGUGCCGUGGGGGUGCAGCUGGCUAUGAGGUCAGGAGAGGCGGCUAGGAAGACGGUCGCCUCCAUGACACAGACGUCGCUCUCCGCAUCACACAGUUUGUCCUCUGUCUUCCUCCAGAUCUUGUUUUCUUGACAUCUACAGUCUAGAUCGAAGGAAGAUUCGCUUCUUUGCCAAUUCUCCAUGCCAUUCACUCAUCUUACAUCUUACAAUAAAAGCUUACUUUGAACUCCUUAUGAUCAGGCUGUCAGAUGUAUUUAUAGUAACUCUUAUCUAGAAAUAUGUCUCACGAAAGAAAUGCCCUCAUUCAUAGAUAUACUUGAUAGUCUUGAUUCCAGAGCCAAAAAGAGAAUGAAGUUCUAUGUAAUAAUGUGGCAAAAUCUUUGUUUUGUUCAUGUGUUCUAUCUGACGUGAUUUUUCUUGCUACUAACCUUCCUGCUCCUGACAUAUAAACUGCUGUUUGCAGCACUUGGAUAUACGUAGUUGUAUCAAAAUUCCCUUCUUACAACAUGGCUUGCUGCUACUAGGAAUAUUAGAUUGGAAGCACCUACAUUGGACUAGAUUAAUUUGAUUUCUUUGGUAUAGCUUGCUUACUUCGUAAUUGUGAUACUUGUAGUUUGAAAGUAUUUUGUUUCAUCUUUGGUAUGUUAUUCAGUUUUCAGAAUUGAUCUCCAAGUGCUUAUGAUGGUGUUACUGAAUGUUGAUUGAUGGUGUUGGAAACAAUAUAUGGACACUUGCUUGUUUCUUUGAGUUGACACAAGUCCAAUGAGAAUUCUACACCGACAAAAUGAGAGAGGAAUUCAGCCCUAAAGAAAGCAUUGACAGUGAAACCGGCAUAUAUUUUAUCACUUGGUCCUUCUAUCAAUGAAGCAAUGUCAAGAGGUAACGGAUGCAGUGUGGAUAAUGCAGAGUUUGCUAUGGAGACUCUAAAUCAAUUGAACACCUACGCUUGCCCCAGAACUCUUGGUAGCUAAGAGCCUCACACAUGGAUGUCAGUCGGGGCUUCCGUCCCACACCACUCUGUUGGCCACGCCUGCAGCCGUCCCAGCAUCACCCUCCCGCCGUCGUAAACGAUCCGGCAUUGCUGCCCACACCCCUGCUUUGCUGCAUACCACUUCUAUAGCCUGUACAGUGGGGCGGCAAGCAUGCGACUGAAGACGAUCAGUGUAAUCUUACCAAGAUCAUGUGCUUUUUUAUCUCUGGUUCUUGCAAGACGAUUCUUUGCCGUACGUGUCAGGUGACUGAAUCCCGCCGAGUAUUAUUAGGCGGAGGAAGGGACAGAAACAGGGCACGCCACUCUGCAUUUUUGGUCUCGCCGAAAUGACUUCAGUAUCAGCCAGGGGGCUGUGCAUCACUGGGAAUUUUCCAUUUGGAAGGUCCAAUUCCUGACCAUGAUGCUAUAUGAACCGCAACCUGGAACAGUGAAUCCUGAUCGCGAAUGUGCCCGCGGCGCAAGAGAGGAGGGGGCAUCAGCUUGAGUAUAUCCAAGUGGCGGGACAGACAGGCGCGAUGGCAAUGGCAAUGGAAUUGGCCAACAAAUUGCUACUGGUGCUCCAGAGCUACUCGCUGCCAGUUUGGGCCAUGAUAAUCUCGGGGCUCUUCGUCGCCGUAUCACUCUCGCUGUCCAUCUACUUGCUCUUCAACCACCAUCGGCCUACAAGAACCCAGAGGAGCAGAAGUUCCUCGUCGGCGUCGUUCUGAUGGUGCCGAUAUAUGCAAUCGAGUCGGUAAGGUGGCUAUGCCAUGUCUUGUUCAAGUGCGCGGUCACAAUGUUGUUGGCCGGGAGAGGUCGAUCCAGCCGUUAACUCUUGGCGUGGACCAGUAGGUUCAAUUUCAGCUUUUAUGUAAUCUUUGUGUUGAUUUCUUUUGAAUUGCAAAAUCAUUUGCUGAUACUUUUCUCCCCUUUCAGUCAUAAAAUGUAAGGUGACCUUUCACAUUUAGUCCGAUAUUUUGUUCAUACGUUGAUUUUACUUUCGAACCGCCUUUUCUUUUAAGAUUAUCAAAUGAUAUCUUUAACUAUUUUAUAAGGUACAAUUUCAAAUUUAGUCUGAGAUUUUUUUUAUCGUACUUUGAGUUUAGUUAUGUGUUAUAAUUGAUAUAGUUCUUAGCUAAUUUGACAAACAAUGAUGGCUCCAAUGCCUAUGUCGCUUCUUUGCUACAAAAUGUAAAAUGUGAUUUAUCUUUUGCUGAUCUUCGUCAAAGUGUUUUUGUUUAUACAUUGCAGGAACCCAUAAGCCAAUAGUAUUAGGUUUAGAUGGCUUUCCAGGGAUUGAAGUGGUUGGAGCUGCAGGCCGAACUCAAAUUAUUUGUUUUUUCAGUACCAUUUGUUAAUUCAAUUGCAAACAUUGUGCUAAUAGAUAAAGACAUGUCCCAAUCUUCUUGGUCUGCUCACGUAUGGAGGCGAUCUGAAUUAAAGGAAGAACUCUAUGUUGUCUGCUUGAAUCAAUUGUUCAUCUCUACAUUAACGAAUAGAAUCGCAAAGGAAAAAAACAUUCUCUCUCCUCCCACCAGCGGCCUCGAUCUGGGAUCGCCAGGGAUGCCGCUAAAUAUAAUAUCUCAUGGUAUGGAGAAAUACAGAAGAAUUUGUUCAGACUUCAGAAAUGUGUGGUUGAGGAGACAGAAACACACAGCAGACUUCAGAAAUGUUUUCAGAAUCGCAAAGGAAAAAAACAUUCUCUCUCCUCCCACCAGCGGCCUCGAUCUGGGAUCGCCAGGGACGCCGCUAAAUAUAAUAUCUCAUGGUAUGGAGAAAUACAGAAGAAUUUGUUCAGACUUCAGAAAUGUGUGGUUGAGGAGACAGAAACACACAACAGUCUGCACUACACACUUGACAUACAUGCAAAGGUGAAAAUUUCCCUUUUCUUGGUGCUUCUAAUUAUGAUGUCUCAUGGUUAGGAUAAUAAGUAUGUACUUUGUGAUGCAUUUGUUUUGAUACAGUUUGCAUUAUAUAUUAUAGUUAUAUUUUGUCAGAUGACAUUUGUUUUGUUAUUUCUGAUUAGAGCUUGCUGUGUCCAUGUAUAAAUAUUUUUGGGAGCGUACUAUGACAUUUUUGUGCCACGACACAUUUGGUUUAAGUUUUGUAGAGCAAAUAGGUGUAUAUAUCAUGAUAAUCAUUUUCUAAGCAUGUUCAUGAAAAUUACGUUUAUGUUGGAUCAUUCCGAAUUUUACUAACCUUGUCGGUAAUGCAUCUGUGCAUGAUCUUAAUUGUUUGAAUAUUAUCAUUCAACAUGAAUGGGUGGCCUCACAACCAAUAUAUAGUUGUACCCCAGUGGAACAACUUCAUGUUUGUACCAAUCUGGCAUAUUGGCCCAUCUGUACGUGGGAGGUUUUUUGGUGAUAUAAUCAUGCAGGUUAACCAUCCAUGCAAUUGAAGUGACACGUCUAGAUUUUUGGGGAAAAGCUGUUGUAUAUUCCCCGCAUCUGCUCUUCAUUGUCAUAGCUACUUUGCUACCUCCCUGCAAUCUGUAUGAGUUGUGCGGUCUGAAGCUUUGAGUGAGAACACGCCUGAUAUGAUUUACUUCUUUCUGCCCUGAAUUAACAAGAUGCUCAGUAACAUUGUGUUGAAAAAUAAUGCAUGCGAAUGUGGAUGUCAGAUUGUUUUAAGGAUUUGAUUAUGGUAGUUUUACCUAUGACGAUAACAAAAUACAA
Molecule: long non-coding RNA, 4485 nt
Organism: Triticum aestivum (bread wheat)
Lineage: Eukaryota; Viridiplantae; Streptophyta; Magnoliopsida; Poales; Poaceae
Exons: 10
Source: RefSeq, a predicted model, not a curated record